This 75-nucleotide transfer RNA is filed under the name Candidatus Acetothermia bacterium. RNAcentral's name for it is "tRNA-Ala". It matches the Rfam family "tRNA". Rfam says of the family: Transfer RNA (tRNA) molecules are approximately 80 nucleotides in length. Their secondary structure includes four short double-helical elements and three loops (D, anti-codon, and T loops). The record is from RNAcentral. Lineage: Bacteria; Candidatus Bipolaricaulota.
GGGGAUGUAGCUCAGCGGGAGAGCACCUGCCUUGCACGCAGGGGGUCGGCGGUUCGAAUCCGCUCGUCUCCACCA